AGAGACAGCAGUAGCCGCGGGAAUACGUAGGGUGCAAGCGUUAAUCGGAAUUACUGGGCGUAAAGCGUGCGCAGGCGGUUAUAUAAGACAGAUGUGAAAUCCCCGGGCUCAACCUGGGAACUGCAUUUGUGACUGUAUAGCUAGAGUACGGCAGAGGGGGAUGGAAUUCCGCGUGUAGCAGUGAAAUGCGUAGAUAUGCGGAGGAACACCGAUGGCGAAGGCAAUCCCCUGGGCCUGUACUGACGCUCAUGCACGAAAGCGUGGGGAGCAAACAGGAUUAGAUACCCCGGUAGUCCCUGUCUCUUAUAC
This 309-nucleotide ribosomal RNA is filed under the name uncultured bacterium. RNAcentral's name for it is "partial 16S ribosomal RNA". It matches the Rfam family "Bacterial small subunit ribosomal RNA", at positions 504 to 807 of the family's 1533-position model. The record is from RNAcentral.